RNAcentral lists this ribosomal RNA (753 nucleotides) under uncultured bacterium. Its description in RNAcentral is "bacterial SSU rRNA". It matches the Rfam family "Bacterial small subunit ribosomal RNA", at positions 8 to 793 of the family's 1533-position model. The record is from RNAcentral.
AGAGUUUGAUCCUGGCUCAGAAUCAACGCUGGCGGCGCGCCUAACACAUGCAAGUCGAACGAGAAAGCGGGGCAACUCGCAAGUAAAGUGGCGUACGGGUGAGUAACACGUGGAUAAUCUACCCUUUAGUGUGGAAUAACCCUGGGAAACCGGGGCUAAUACCGCAUAAUCCCGAGAGGGGAAAGCAGCAAUGCGCUGAAGGAGGAGUCCGCGGCCGAUUAGCUAGUUGGUAGGGUAAAAGCCUACCAAGGCAAAGAUCGGUAGCCGGCCUGAGAGGGCACACGGCCACACUGGCACUGAAACACGGGCCAGACUCCUACGGGAGGCAGCAGUGGGGAAUCUUGCACAAUGGGGGAAACCCUGAUGCAGCGACGCCGCGUGAGCGAUGAAGCCCUUCGGGGUGUAAAGCUCUUUCGGCAGGGAAGACUUUGACGGUACCUGCAGAAGCAGCUGCGGCUAACUACGUGCCAGCAGCCGCGGUAAUACGUAGGCAGCAAGCGUUGUUCGGAGUUACUGGGCGUAAAGGGUGCGUAGGCGGUUCCCUAAGUUUGGUGUGAAAUCUCCCGGCUUAACUGGGAGGGUGCGCCGAAAACUGGGGAGCUAGAGUGUGGGAGAGGUGAGUGGAAUUCCUGGUGUAGCGGUGAAAUGCGUAGAUAUCAGGAGGAACACCGGUGGUGUAGACGGCUCACUGGACCAUUACUGACGCUGAGGCACGAAAGCGUGGGUAGCAAACAGGAUUAGAUACCCUGGUAG